This 279-nucleotide long non-coding RNA is filed under the name Elaeis guineensis (African oil palm). Its description in RNAcentral is "long non-coding RNA (EGUI_LNC065750)". The record is from RNAcentral. Lineage: Eukaryota; Viridiplantae; Streptophyta; Magnoliopsida; Arecales; Arecaceae.
UCUCCACUAGAAAUCUCCAAUCAUUCGCUAUUAGUUUGUGGUGGUGUAGUGGGAAUCCCAAGUAAGUUGUUCCCAACUUUGAUAGGAUGCAACCAAUAAUUUAUGCUAGAAUUUUGCUCUCACUCUCUGAAAUUCUAAAAAGUAAAAAGAUUGCUUUUUUGAUAGUUGUUCUUUAGGCCCGAAGCCAGCUCAAAUGCAUAGACAAUGAACUUUAGAAUAGAGGUAUGGUGUCUACUUGCGUUACUCAUCAAAAGAGUACUGUCUGCAUAUUGAAUGCUC